Molecule: microRNA precursor, 74 nt
Filed under: Myotis lucifugus (little brown bat)
Lineage: Eukaryota; Metazoa; Chordata; Mammalia; Chiroptera; Vespertilionidae
Description: mir-9193 microRNA precursor family
Rfam family: mir-9193 microRNA precursor family
Source: Rfam by way of RNAcentral
CAGGGAGGGGGGGUGUCCCUCAGCCCAGAUUACGAGAGGGUGCAGGCCAGGCCAAGGGACCCCACUGGUGCACG